UCAUCUUCCCCUACAAUCAACCUUAAAAAUAUCCAAAACACGUUAAAAAAAGAACAUUCCCAGACUCAAUACGACGUCGGUUGCAUCUCCCGUUUUACCAAACCAGACCUAAACUCACCCAAACGCUAGCCCGUUCCGUCGCACGCGAGGCUCCGACUAUUCUCCCUGCCGUUCAAUCAACAAGCCACCGUCUCGAAAUGGAUCCUCGUGCGCUAUGGCGGCACUACGUUACCGGCUUUACCAACACAAGAGAAUUGGACUGUAUCUCGAUGUGACUCGGGUCGGGUUUACCGAUGAGUUUGUUGAGGAAAUGGAGCCGCUGUUGCAGGAUGCAUUUAUAGCUAUGGAGAAGCUUGAGAAGGGAGCGAUUGCGAAUCCGGAUGAAGGUCGUAUGGUUGAACAUUAUUGACUUAGGGAUUCGAAUCGUGCUCCGAAUUCGUUUCUGAAGUCGCAGGGCGUUUUGUGGAUUUGCUGAUGAUGUCGUCCUAGUAAGGUUAGUUGGUGUAUCGUAUCCUUUACUGUUUUCGUUGACUCAACUGUGAUGUGAUUUGACUCACUAAAUGGCACAUUAUAGCUUAUGUAGCUCCGGCACAUCUGAAAAAAUUACAUCUUUGUAAAAAGACUUGUUGGUGUUGGUGUCAAACACUCAGAGAGAUACUUGUGAUUUCAUUUUAUUUUUAUUUAUUUUUUAAAAUCAUUAUCAGGGUUGCUAUCAGAAUUGCCGAGUCAAUGUCAGGUGUCCAUGUUUCUUAGAUCUCUAAUAAGAAGUUAAAGGAACUACCAUUUAAUUAAGGCUUUAAAGUUUCAUGAAUGUAUUUGCAAAUUUGCGAAAAUGAGGCGGAUAUGUUGAGAGAUGUUUAUAAUUUUGAGGACCAUUUGACUUAGUCAUUUUUUUUUUUUUGGGUUUUAUGAAUUGGAUUUGUUUGGUUUAAGUGUGUGUGUGUAUGGGUUUGUUGAUGUGGUUGUGGUAGAUUAAGCCGCCUUCUUCACCUGAGGGAAGGUUUACUCAGAUACUUUCUGUUGGGAUUGGAGGGUCUGAGGCACUUGCUCCGGAUAGUCCUCCACUCAAGAUACGAUUUAUUGACAACACAGAUCCUGCUGGCAUUGAUCAUCAGAUUGCACAACUUGGCCCUGAGCUAGCUUCGACACUGUAAUCGUGAUUUCAAAGAGUGGACGUACCCCUGAGACUAGAAAUGGCUUAUUAAAAGUACAGAAGGCCUUUUGUGAAGCGGGAUUGGAUUUCCCAAAACAGGGUGUUAUAACAUGAGAAAAUUAUUUGUUGGAUAAUACUGCCAGAAUUGAAGGAUGGUUAGCUAAAUUUCCCAUGUUUGACUGUGUGGGAGGUAGAACAUCAUAGAUGUCUGCAGUCGGUCUGCUUCCAGCAGCUCUGCAGACCAUUGAUAUUAGAGAAAUGCUUCUUUGUGCAUCACUAAUGGAUGAGGCAAAUAGGAGUACCGUGUGUAGGUGCUCUGGAUUUGAUAGAGUUUUAUUGGUCAAACUAAGGAGGCGAAUGGUUGGUUAAUGGUAAUGGUUUAUGGUGGAUAGGCUGGUUACUCAUAGGAAUUUGGAAACAAUAAUGUAGAUUUUAGGUUGAAUUUGUGGGUAUUUGGUGCUGCACAUUACCUGUGAUUUCAUGGGAUGAAUAAUUAAUGUGUCUUUGUUCAAAAAAAUUAUUGACAUGUCUGCCAAAUAAACCUACUCAUCAAUCAAGAAGGUUUCAUGCUGGAAUCUUGUAAAUUUAGAUUAACUAUGUAUCCGGAAAAAAAUCUACAAUUGUUUAAGUAGGCCUCUCGAAUAAGUUAGGCUACAACCCACAAGAACUAGGAAAAGAGGCCUACUUAAACAAUUCUAUGAAAAUCUAUCAGAUCACAAUUAAGGAAACUUGCAGACACUUUCACACCCAGGCUAUGAUCAAUGCAGGUGUGCCAACAGUGGAUCUAGGAUAGACUCUAACAUUGCCGUAGACUUUGGGCGUAGGGCCCAACGCAACCCCACAUAAUCAACUUAAAGGACACUCGAAGCCUAAGCACCACUGGGUCGAUAUCUCUUGGCAUUGUGGGAUACUUGCACCAACUAGUCAUGGAAUCUCUGGGCAUGGAAUAUGACUUGGAUGGUAAUCGGUUAUGUGUUGCACAUUUAGCAAAUCUGAUCCUCAUUAUUUGUAUCCUUUGUAAUUACUUGCAGCAACUAGUCUUGGAAUCUCUGGGCAAGGAAUGUGACUUCUUACACAUGUUAUUGUGUGAAAUGAUUGAAUACCACCACCAUUGCAUGCUCUUUCUUUAAUACCAUACUAAGAAAAACGCGGGUGGUAUUUGAAAGCAGUAUUUAUGGCUUACCUCUCUCUGCUAUGCUACCUGCCUAAUAGGCAGUGUAAAGGCAUGUGCCUCUAGAUCAGGAGGAGGCGAUUCAACUUCUGAACAGCACAGGCAGGCAGGCAACUCAUGACCCUGAUCCACAUCUCGGCUUGACACUCAAGUUUUUGUUGCCUUAUAAAAUUUCAACGGGACUUUAUUCUCUCCCUACAUGGUAAAAAUAUUGCAGUCUCUUCUGCUGAAAUUGUGUUGCGUCUUCUUGGAUGCUCUAUAAAAUCUCUAAUCAGAAUUUGCCAAGCACAUACUUCAGGCUAAGAACUGAAAACAACACCUUCCUGUUGUCCACCUCUCGAUCAUGCUUAAGCCAUUUUGUACAAACUUAAUAUGUCCUAAUAAGUUCCAGCAACAACAGUGACUCAACAUUUCUACUGAAAGUCAUAACAGUGCUACCACUAUCAACAUGAGCUGAAACACAAGAAUCUUCCACGGGCUCCCAGGUUCAAUCAUCUGCUUGCUCUCUUAAAAACUAUGUUUAUAUAAUAAUGAAACUAUGUUUAGUUUGUGGAAUAUAUAAGUUGAAUGUGUAAUAUAUAACAAUGAUAUGAAACAGUGUUUAGAUUGAUGUUGUGUUUUUGCAUUGGCCUUGUGUUAAUUGUAUAUGCAAGGUGAUAAGCUUUGUAGAUAUUAUUAGGUUGCAAUAUUAAGAUAAGUUUUUCUCUACUUCACUCAUGAUUUGAAUAACAAAAUCAUUUAGCAAUAUAAUUAGGCAAUGCAAUGAAGAAGAAUGUGUGUAAAUUUGUAGACAUUACCACAACAAAUAUACCAAGUAUGUUAGGGGUUCACAUCUAUGUAAAGUCAUACAGUAACUGUACCAAACAAUAUCAUAUACAAAGAAUUGUAAUAUCAAAUACACAGAAUGGGAAUGUGUAUAUACAGUAACUGCACCAAACAAAAUCAUAUACAAAAAAUAGACAGAAUGCACGGAAUAGGAAUUUCAAAUACACAGAAUGAGACUGUCAUAUGCACGGAACAGGAAGAAUGCAUCACGAACAAAUAUCCAAAGCAUACCCGCCACCCUUUCAUAAGGGCACUAGAUCCCAGGGAUUCACUCCAUAUUCAGUCCCAUCUUCAUCCCAGCGGAUCUAUACCAAAAACAUAUAAAACACUGAGCAUAAAAAUAAUAACUAGUAUUACAAAUAGAACUUCAAUCAAACAUAGGAAUCAACAAUUUUUUUCUUACUCAACACGUUACCAAGAAAAAACAAUAUACCUUGUAC
This is a long non-coding RNA of Vicia villosa (hairy vetch), 3589 nucleotides long. RefSeq lists it as uncharacterized. The transcript is spliced from 9 exons. NCBI's taxonomy places the organism in Eukaryota, Viridiplantae, Streptophyta, Magnoliopsida, Fabales, Fabaceae. The record is from RefSeq and is a predicted model, not a curated record.